AGUGGUUCAUCAGCUCUUACAGUAUAUGGUAGAAAUCACUGCUGCAGCUUCUGGAUCAUUUUUUACAUCCCAGUUAAAUUCAGAAUCAGCCGCAUCCAUAACCAUAUCCACCAUUUUAUCUGUGUUCAUCUCCUGCUCGGUUCUAACUCUUGCAACUUUCACUCACGUCUCUCCAUGCAGAUACCAAUACUUAUAGUUGGGCAUAAAUCUACUAUUAUACAAAUGGAUGGUAAUUAUAUUCCUAUCAAAUAUUUCUCUAUUGCCAUAUCUGUCACAAGGGCAACGAGCCCAUCCUUAAUGUAAG
Molecule: long non-coding RNA, 304 nt
Filed under: Elaeis guineensis (African oil palm)
Lineage: Eukaryota; Viridiplantae; Streptophyta; Magnoliopsida; Arecales; Arecaceae
Description: long non-coding RNA (EGUI_LNC011346)
Source: RNAcentral